AUUUGUGAGGCGCAACAGGGGAAUCUUAGACAAAGGGCGCAAGCCUGACUACCCAUGCCGCGUGAGUGAUAAAGGCCCUAGGGUCAUAAAGCUCUUUUUCCAGGGGUAUGAAAGUGACUGUACAAUAAAGAUAACCCCGGCUAAAUCCGUGCCAGCAGCCGCCGGUAAUAUGGAGGGGGUGUUAGCGUGUUUUGAAUUACUGGGGGUAAAGCGAGGUGGGCGGAUUAGUAAGUUUGGGGGGAAAACCCAGGGMUCAACCCUGGAACUGCGCCUAAAACUGUUAGUMUUGAGUUUGAGAGAGGUGAGAGGAAUUCCUAGUGUGGAGGUGAAAUUGGUAGAUAUUUGGAUGAACACCAGGAUGGCGAAGGCRGCUCUGGCUCGAUACUGACGCUGAGGUAMGAAAGUGUGGGGAGCAAACAGGAUUAGAUACCCUCGUUGUCCACACCGUAGACGAUGAAUGCCAGACGUCGGGGAGCAUGCUUUUCGGUGUCACAGCGAA
This 499-nucleotide ribosomal RNA is filed under the name uncultured Alphaproteobacteria bacterium. RNAcentral describes it as "bacterial SSU rRNA". The record is from RNAcentral. Lineage: Bacteria; Pseudomonadati; Pseudomonadota; Alphaproteobacteria.